Molecule: ribosomal RNA, 382 nt
Filed under: uncultured bacterium
Lineage: Bacteria
Description: bacterial SSU rRNA
Rfam family: Bacterial small subunit ribosomal RNA
Source: RNAcentral
AGUCAAUAGAUACCCGGGUAGUCCACGCCGUAAACGAUGAGUACUAGGUGUAGGAGGUAUCGACUCCUUCUGUGCCGCAGUUAAACACAAUAAGUACUCCGCCUGGGAAGUACGGUCGCAAGAUUAAAACUCAAAGGAAUUGACGGGGGCCCGCACAAGCAGCGGAGCAUGUGGUUUAAUUCGAAGCAACGCGAAGAACCUUACCUAGACUUGACAUCUCCUGAAUAGUGUAGAGAUACAUGAAGCCCUUCGGGGCGAGGAAGACAGGUGGUGCAUGGUUGUCGUCAGCUCGUGUCGUGAGAUGUUGGGUUAAGUCCCGCAACGAGCGCAACCCUUAUUACUAGUUGCUACCAUUAAGUUGAGCACUCUAGUGAGACUGCCC